UACGGAGGGGGUUAGCGUUGUUCGGAAUUACUGGGCGUAAAGCGCGCGUAGGCGGAUUAGAAAGUUGGGGGUGAAAUCCCGGGGCUCAACCCUGGAACUGCUCUUGAAACUCCUUGUCUAGAGACCUGGAGAGGUGAAGGGAAUUCCGAGUGUAGAGGUGAAAUUCGCAGAUAUUCGGAGGAACACCAGUGGCGUAGGCGCUUCACUGGACAGGUACUGACGCUGAGGUACGAAAGCGUGGGGAGCAAACAGG
Molecule: ribosomal RNA, 253 nt
Filed under: uncultured bacterium
Lineage: Bacteria
Description: partial 16S ribosomal RNA
Rfam family: Bacterial small subunit ribosomal RNA
Source: RNAcentral